UUUAUACUCCCUCCGUCCCAUAUUAAAUGCCGAAAUAUUACAUGAAUCUGGACGUAUUUUAGUAUAUAGAUACGUCCAUUUUUAGACAAAUUUGAGUCACUUAAUAUAGGACGGAGGGAGUAUGUU
Non-coding RNA from Brachypodium distachyon (stiff brome), 126 nucleotides. NCBI's taxonomy places the organism in Eukaryota, Viridiplantae, Streptophyta, Magnoliopsida, Poales, Poaceae. The record is from Rfam.